CUACUUUGUUGCCAUCAUAAGGUGCCAUUCCCUAAUCGCGAUUCAUGAUUGUGGAUGCUAGAUGCUGAUUUUAAAUUUUAACUCUAAUAGGUUUAAACCAUUCAAGUAAGAAAUGGGUAUCUUAUCCAAUCCUGUUUAAUAAACGAAUUAAAUGAUUUAAACAAAUCAGAAGGUCGGACCUGAUCCAACCUGAAUAAUUAGAUGGGUUAAAUGAGUUGAUCUAUUUAUAAUUCAAAUUUAUUCAGCCCAAAUCUAAACUUGCUUAAGAC
This 269-nucleotide long non-coding RNA is filed under the name Elaeis guineensis (African oil palm). Its description in RNAcentral is "long non-coding RNA (EGUI_LNC020623)". The record is from RNAcentral. Lineage: Eukaryota; Viridiplantae; Streptophyta; Magnoliopsida; Arecales; Arecaceae.